Long non-coding RNA from Scylla paramamosain (green mud crab), 2147 nucleotides. RefSeq lists it as uncharacterized. The record is from RefSeq and is a predicted model, not a curated record. NCBI's taxonomy places the organism in Eukaryota, Metazoa, Arthropoda, Malacostraca, Decapoda, Portunidae. The transcript is spliced from 2 exons.
GUGAAGAGAGUGAAGGGAUGAAGAGAACGAGAAGAGACAGUGAGGAGGUGAAGGUCUGGACGGAAGGGUGGAACGGGGAUGGAGGGAGGGGUGAGGGGGUGCUGGGAGGGGGUGGGGAGGGGGAGGAGGGCGUGAUGACCCCGGAAUGUAAAUGAUGACGUCCCCUGGAAUAUCGAAGACAGAGGGUCGUGAAGGUGCAUAUUCAAUGGACGCCGCGGUGAAUAUGGAACGGAGGGCGUCGCGUUUACUGUGUGGAGGCGACCGCGGCCAGUCUCCUCCCGGGGCCUGCUCAGGUCGCCGCGCCCUCCCGACGACGGCGGCGGCGAAGAAGGCGGCGGCUGGAAAUCCCUCGCCGUGAAGGUCCCCGCUAUCCCCGCCGCGCCACGCACUGCCGCCCCAGAGUCUCCGCUGCGCCGCCGUCCCUCUGAUCCUGCCGCUGCCGCCGUCUUCGCUGCCGCCACGCGAGUCAAGACAACGGUACCCGGAUCAACAACACCCGGAAUAACCGUACCCGUAUCAUACCUAUUCGGAUCCGAAACAGUAGUGCCCGAACCAGAGUAAAUUCAGAAAAAUUACAAGUUCCUUCACUACAGUCACCACAAUCACCAUCUUCGCCGCCGCCGCCGCCACCGCCACCGCCGCCACCGCCGAAUUGUGAACAUCCCGCCAAUCUUGAGUGCAACAUGUGCGUGUGUGCGCGUGUACGUGUGCGUGCGUACCGCGUGUGUCUUGUGUACCGUAGUGUGUCGCGUGGGGCACCUGUGUGUGUGUGUGUGUGUGUGUCAGGUGGGGGCGCGGAGAGGGGCGCGGUGCAGGGGACGAUGAAGGGAGCGACAGAAGAACAGCAAGGCAGGACGGCACCCCCUUCCCCCUCCCCCUCCCUCCCUCAGGCCUCUACAGAUCGUACCCCAGCAUUCUGCACACACACACACACACACACACACACACACACACACACACACACACACACACACACACACACACACACACACACACAAAGCGGUGAUGUUAUGAACAUCUGCGAGGCUUCACUGUUUCAAAAGCAAGAAUGAUGCAUCGACAAUAGGCCUCACUGGAGCUUCGAUGGACGCAGCAUGAAGAGCCGAGUGAAGCACAGGACGGAACAGUGAAGCAGUGAAUCAAGCAGUGAGUGACCCAGUGAUCGAAAAUUACUGUGAUAAUGAAAAAAAAAAAAAAAGUAUAUAAAAAUCUGGUUGGGUAACUACGAGGCACCGAGUGAAGCAGUGAAGCAGUGAAUGAACCAGUGAGUGAACCAGUGAUCGAAUAUGACUAACAAUGACUAAAUAAGAAAGAAAAUAAAGAAAAAAGUUUGUUGUUUUAAAUUUUGCAAUGAAAUUUUUAAGAUUCAGUUCUGUUUCUUAGUGAAGCAUUUACUUGAAACAGUGAAGCAGUGUUUUGCAGUGAACUGUUACAGAAAAUUACAAUUUCCAUUCGCGUAAAAUGUAAAAAUACAAUGAUCGCAAUGAUGACAAAGAAUUAUAUUGACGAAAAUCAUGACAAGAAAUAAUAAUGCUGACAAGGUAGUGCAUUCAUGCUGUCCUUCAUCAAUUCAUCAAUCAACAAAUACUAAAUGACGGUGAAUGACAGAUGAGUGAAUGAAACAGUGAUUUUCUAAUUUUGUUUAAGAAGUGAGAAAAAAAUGGAUAAAAAAACUACAAAUUUCAGGAAACAUUAUACAAAGGUAACCUCUGAGACCUUUAACCAGAGCUAUGCGUCCCUUUAAAACCUGUAAAAAAAAAAAAAAUAAAUAAAUAAAUAAAUAAAAAUAAAAAAAUAAAAAUAAUAUUAAAUUUUUGCUUUAAAAAUUUUCGUCUAACAUUACACAUGAUUAAAUCAUGAAAAUUAAAAGAUGAAUAUUAAUAUGAAAAGUACAUAUUAAUUGAUUGUGUGUUUUCUUUUAAAUAUUGAAUGUCUUAAUUUAAUUUAAAAACCUCAAAAGAAUAUUUUACAUAUUUAAAACACAUCCCUGUAAUCGGGUAAAAUUUUUGAUUCAUUUUUUUUUCUCUCUUUUUUAAGGUUAAAAAAAUUAAGAAAAUUUUGCGAUUAAAAAAUUUUCCUUCAAAAUUACAAAUGUUUAAUCAUGAAAUGUAGAAGAAGAAUACUGAUAUAAAAAAUAUUAUAUCAAC